Molecule: ribosomal RNA, 253 nt
Filed under: uncultured bacterium
Lineage: Bacteria
Description: partial 16S ribosomal RNA
Rfam family: Bacterial small subunit ribosomal RNA
Source: RNAcentral
UACAGAGGGGGCAAGCGUUGUUCGGAAUUACUGGGCGUAAAGGGCGCGUAGGCGGAUUGUUAAGUCGGGGGUGAAAUCCUGGAGCUCAACUCCAGAACUGCCUUCGAUACUGGCGAUCUCGAGUUCGGGAGAGGUGAGUGGAACUGCGAGUGUAGAGGUGAAAUUCGUAGAUAUUCGCAAGAACACCAGUGGCGAAGGCGGCUCACUGGCCCGAUACUGACGCUGAGGUGCGAAAGCGUGGGGAGCAAACAGG